RNAcentral lists this ribosomal RNA (507 nucleotides) under uncultured bacterium. RNAcentral describes it as "bacterial SSU rRNA". It matches the Rfam family "Bacterial small subunit ribosomal RNA", at positions 8 to 526 of the family's 1533-position model. The record is from RNAcentral.
AGAGUUUGAUCCUGGCUCAGGAUGAACGCUGGCGGCGUGCUUAACACAUGCAAGUCGAACGGACUCAUAUUGAAACCUAGUGAUUUAUGAGUUAGUGGCGGACGGGUGAGUAACGCGUGGAGAACCUGCCGUAUACUGGGGGAUAACACUUAGAAAUAGGUGCUAAUACCGCAUAAGCGCACAGCUUCGCAUGAAGUGGUGUGAAAAACUCUGGUGGUAUACGAUGGUUCCGCGUCUGAUUAGCUUGUUGGCGGGGUAAUGGCUCACCAAGGCGACGAUCAGUAGCCGGCCUGAGAGGGUGAACGGCCACAUUGGGACUGAGACACGGCCCAAACUCCUACGGGAGGCAGCAGUGGGGAAUAUUGCACAAUGGGGGAAACCCUGAUGCGGCGACGCCGCGUGAGUGAAGAAGUAUUUCGGUAUGUAAAGCUCUAUCAGCAGGGAAGAAAAUGACGGUACCUGAUUAAGAAGCCCCGGCUAACUACGUGCCAGCAGCCGCGGUAAUAC